CGUAGGGGGCUAGCGUUGUCCGGAUUUAUCGGGCGUAAAGAGCGCGUAGGCGGCUAGGUAAGUCCGACGUGAAAUCUGGAGGCUCAACCUCCAGCGGUCGUUGGAAACUACUUGGCUAGAGUCCGGAAGAGGAGAGUGGAAUUCCUGGUGUAGCGGUGAAAUGCGCAGAUAUCAGGAAGAACACCGAUGGCGAAAGCAGCUCUCUGGGACGGUACUGACGCUGAGGCGCGAAAGCGUGGGGAGCGAACAGGAUUAGAUACCCUGGUAGUCCACGCCGUAAACGAUGGGUGCUAGGUGUGAGCGGUGUCGACUCCGCUCGUGCCGAAGCUAAUGCAUUAAGCACCCCGCCUGGGGAGUACGGCCGCAAGGCUA
Molecule: ribosomal RNA, 372 nt
Filed under: uncultured organism
Description: bacterial SSU rRNA
Rfam family: Bacterial small subunit ribosomal RNA
Source: RNAcentral